This 301-nucleotide ribosomal RNA is filed under the name uncultured bacterium. Its description in RNAcentral is "partial 16S ribosomal RNA". It matches the Rfam family "Bacterial small subunit ribosomal RNA", at positions 509 to 808 of the family's 1533-position model. The record is from RNAcentral.
CAGCGCCACGGGAAUACGGAGGGAGCUAGCGUUGUUCGGAAUCACUGGGCAUAAAGCGCACGUAGGCGGCUAUUCAAGUCAGGGGUGAAAGCCCGGGGCUCAACCCCGGAACUGCCUUUGAAACUAGAUAGCUUGAAUCUUGGAGAGGCGAGUGGAAUUCCGAGUAUAGAGGUGAAAUUCGUAGAUAUUCGGAAGAACACCAGUGGCGAAGGCGACUCGCUGGACAAGUAUUGACGCUGAGGUGCGAAAGCGUGGGGAGCAAACAGGAUUAGAUACCCGGGUAGUCCCUGUCUCUUAUACA